GGGAGGCAUAAAUCCUACUUGGAAAGACUACCGAUGUGCGCAUUCUAUCAUGGUACAUUUAACUAAUAGCUGCCGUGUGCAUACACAUUGGUACUUGCCUGCAUUGCACAAGGUCACGCCUCCAGGGCCAGCUUUUCGUGGUACAGGCAUCCGCACAGCGUCCCCUGCUUCCCGGAGAUCAGCAUGGGGUGUGGCUGCAUUGCACUAGGAUACAUCAUUAAAUAGACCUAUUGCUAAUUUUCGGUUGUCUGACACCUUCACUUGAUGUUCCAAACUAGUACUAAACUGAGGUUGAGCUUACUCUCUUUUAUGUUGUGCAACUACUACUCUGUAGCUAAGUUAUAUAUGAAGUGACCUUCAGAUGAGAAUGGUUAGAUGUUGAUUGAAAAUCCUAGUAAUGUGAUUGAGAAUUAAGAAAGUUGCAGGCAACUUAUGAAGAGAGAACCCGAUAUCAAAUCCAGCAAUCAAGUACUCAUAAAAUCCAACCAAGUUCUGUAAACAUUUCUUGUUACUGAUAUUAGUAUAGUCAAGGUCAAUCAUGCUGCAAACAAGGAAAUUUGGUAGUGAUUGUCAAUUUGUGUGUUUCCAUGCUUCAAAGGAAGGAUGUGGAUGAGAGGGAAAUUAAAGAUAGGAGCACAUACAUAAAGGAGAGGAAGAUGAUUAAAGGAGAAAAAGUCCUAGGAUCCAUUGCAACAGUACGCUAAACAAAGACGAUAUACUAGUUGUAAAAUGAACAGAAUUUAAUAGAGGGAUCGAUUUGACAGACUGAUUGCAGCAUGAAUCACAAAAAUGCACCACCCACAUGGAAAAUUGUAAAAGGUUACAUCUGCAUGCAGGAAACAAAGUUGGGUUUUGACAGGCAUGGCAGAAGAAAGUACCGCUGUAAAUCACUAAUGGUGAGUUUAAUUUUGCGUGGAACAAACCUUAGUAACUUACGAUAGAUGAAAUAAAGUGCCUGAACUUGCGGAGCUGCAACUCAAGAUAGAUGUCAUGCAGAGGAGAUAUACAUAUGUGUGAAUUGAAACAAUUUGGGAUUUCGAAGGAAAUACAAUGUGCAGAAAAGGAUGCCUAAAUUCAGAAGAGUAUUUCUCUGAGACAAGUGAAUUAAUUCAGACAUCACACUUCAGUAGGUUGUAUAGAUUGACUUGAUGACUUUGGAAAGAGCUUCAUUUAUGCAAGAUGGGAUGAAAGGAUAUGACCGAGUGUCAGGGUUUUCAGAUGCACUCUAAUGGACAAAAAUAGAACAAUGCAUGCUGUAGAAAGGGUUAAAGGCAUGGCAAAGGUAUUGCUUCAUCUAUAUCUAUACAUAACACAAGUACUACACAAUACAUUUGUCCAUCAUUAGCAACCCAUGUUAGUACGACCAAUCUCAGUCCAGUUGUUUUGCAAAAUUCUUGCUGGAAAAUAUGCAUUAUAAGGCACAACAAAAAUCAUCGUGAUCAUUCAUAUGCACAUAAUGAAAUAAUACCAUUUGAUUUAUCUUGCAAAAUAUUUUGUAAUUCAAUAUUUUAUUUAAAUUUACUAUCAGGAAUGAUCAAAAUUUUAUACCAGAGACCAAAUAAGACUUUUGUACCUCAGAUAAAUUUUCAUAUGAAAUCAAUAUUACUGAAAUAAAUUUGUAGGUGUAAUGGUGACCAAAUAAGAACUAGUGGAGAUGAUAAGUCUUGGCUGGCUGGACUAAAAGUUUCUAAGGUGAAUUGGUAGAGACAUCCUAAUUUAGACUUGUACUGAUCCAUUAGCUUGGCCAUAAAAAUCAAAAGAAUUGCUAUAAUCUGGUGUUCUUCACAACUUCGUGAUAACACUAAAAUGUUACUCCUAGUUUCCAAGAUCACUGUUUUUCACUUGUAUAAUUACCUUAAAAUGUCAAAAAGAACAGACAAACAAAAAAAAUAACAAUUAGCUUGAUCAGCUUUUGCACAAGCACAAAAAAGGCAACACUCACUAAACCGUGUAAUAGCUAUGAUCACGAUAAUGAACUGGCAAGUAUCAGACAAGCCGUGUGUGAGAGUGAUAACUAUGAAGGGAAGGAUGUAACCGGGAUGCGACAGAAAGCUUGCCACUUGACACUGUCGGUGACGAUAAUAACGACGGCGGGAAGUUGCAAUAUGCGUGUGAUGGUUUGGGAAAUGUGGCACACACCCUCUGAAGCUGGAAUGUGUCAACGUCCUGCGUGGAACAACCUCGCUUGACUGAGCUUCCGCCAUGAUAUAGGAGCAAGUGCCUCCCCACUGCACCUGUGAGCAAGGACCCAGAAUCCAGCGAGAAUAUCUUCUCCAUCUGCCACUGGGUGGAAGUGGAGCUCCCACCAUUGUUUCGCUAAACAGUAUAAGUAAUGGGAGAUGUGCUGCGCUUAAGCACAAACAUCAGAGUUGUGCCUUGACCUGCCUCCAGGAUGGUCACAUCAUCAGCCGGAUUUCUUUCACAGGGCGGGUGAUCAGCCACGGACAGCUCCAUCCUUCGGAUGUCAAGCACCAGCAAUUUUUCAGUGGAGCCUGAAAUCCAGUAGAAAUAGCCAUGGGCGUAAUGGCGCCUCAGGAAGAUAAACAAUGUCAAUAACACGAAGCCAGGUGACAUGUCGCUCCAAGUCGGUGAUGGGACGGUUCGCCAUUGCCCUGUGCCGGAACAGAAGACAGCGAUCACUGGCUUGUUUUGGAGCAGCACCAUCCAGAUCACCCUGAAUGAUGGCUCCUCCGUAGUAGCUGCCUCCUCCUCGUCGUCGUAGCCGGAAGGGACGAGGAAGGAGUGGGCGUAGCACGACCCUUGUGCGCCCACGACAGAAGCGGCUAGGUCAUCGGGGAUCCGAGGAAGCAAGAGGUACUACCGAUGUAAGGGGUCGCACACAACCAUCUCCUUGAAGAGAGGUCCGAACACCUCGCCGGCGUAGAGGCGGCGGGGUCUGUCGAGGAACACGCGGCCGUCACAGACUUCCUGCACGAACCAGCGCCGGGAGGGGGAGGGGAGGAAGCAGGCCCGUAUGGCGCACCUGUGCAGAGUGUUCAACUGCACAGGGCCCCAAGUUUUCUAUGUAGAGCAUUGAUGACUAGUUUAGGUUUGGGUAAUCAACGCAUCAACAAAUACUAGUACGUUGGAACCUGAAACGAAAUAACUCCAAGGCGGAGGCCCCAUCUCAACGCACGUCUCCUCCUCUUCUCUCUCUGUUCUCUUUCUCUUCUAGUGCAAAUCCCUUUCUCUCCCAAGAUCCAAUCGCACCCCAAAGGUCUCAAUUCUAUUCCAUUCCAGUGGCUUAAUUCCUUCGCAUUUCCCCCAAAACAAUCUCCUUAUUCAACGAAUUGGUAUUGUUCUACUCUCAAUCCAUCUAUUUAUCCGGUUUUUCUUUUCUCUCAUCUUCUCACACAUCUUCACUGCUUCUUUCAGUCUCAUUGUUGCUUGCUGCUUGUCCUUCGACCUGGGUGCAUGAUUGGAGUUGGAGGCAUGCCACAAGCGCUAGGCUGCCGAUUAACCGAGAUGAGGAACCGGACGACCCGAGCCACGCCGCAGCCGAAUGGUGUUCCUUCCAAAUAAAUCAAAGGUUGUUUCAUCAAUUUUCGUUUCAAUAUUAAGUUUUAGUGCAUGAUAUUUACAUCCUAUUUUCAUUUCUGAAAUAUAUUCUAGUUCUCGAAUUACGAUUCUUGAGUCUUCUUGAGUCAAUUUAUGAAAAACGUAAGAAAAAGAAAACAACACAAACUUUGUUCUUGAAAAUGUGCUCUUGAUAAGUUUUUACCAAAAGAAUCAAAGUUUCUUGUGAAAAUCAGAGUGCAGAUGCAAGCUUUGUUUUUCUGAUUGCCAUUUGUUAUGUUGAGGGCCUACAUUUUUAUUUCGCACCGGGCCUCCGUUUUCUCGGGUACGGCCCUGGGAGGAAGCCGAAGGAGAAGUCGGCAGCGCUGGCGACGGCCCUGGCCGCGGGCGCGGAGGGGUGAGGCGGGACAGCGGGGUGGAAGCGGUGCCGCUCGGGGUCGAGGAAGCCGAGGAGGGGCGUCGGGUGAGCUUGCGGAAGCGCCGGGGGAAGGAGCGGUCGGCGAUUAGGCGGCGGAAGGAGACGCAGGCGGCCGAGGCGCGGAUGAGGUCGGCUGCGGUGGGGAGGCGGAGCUGGAUUUUCACCAGCAGCUCGUCGGGGAUCGCCGGCAAGGCCAUUUUUUGGCCGCUCUCAGUCGUCGGUGACGGCGGCGGCGGUGGCAGCAGCUGUGUGUGCUGCUUUUUUCUAAGGGGAGUGUGUGUAGUGCUAGACAACUGCGUGUGUAGUGCUUUUUUCUUACACAAACUGUUGGGCUCCAACAGAAAGGACUUUGGGCUGUUGGGCCACGUUGUUGCGUGCCCCAGGGGCUUGUACAAAAUAUCCAUUCUUAAAACAAAAAUCACACAAUUGUGUUGUCCGUUGUCAUGCUGCAAUGGUGGAAUGCGAAAUUAUUGCGAGACAUACUGUCCUCACGCCUCUGACGCUCCCGCAAGAUGGACAGCACAACAAUGUGUGUUCAUGCGAUUUUUUAGGCAUUUUGAAGCGGUUUUGAGAAUUGAGAAGAUUCUAUGGACCGGUAUAGACCAUUUUUUAGAAGUUUCCGCAUGAUCUUUGUGUGUGUGCGCGCGCGCGCGCGUGCGUGCGUGCGUGUGCGUGUAUGUGUGUGUGUGUGUGUGUGUGUGUGUGUUCUAUAUCGGUUUUGUCUGUUGUUCAUUUUUUUCUUCACUUUUCAAAUAUAUGCGAUAAUUUUUAAAUACACGUUAAACAUUUUUUAUAUGCAGAUUGAACACUUUUCAGAUACAUGUUAAACAUUUCUUAAACACACUAUGAACCUUUAUCCGAAAUACACGUUGAAUUUUUUUAAAAUGCACAAUGAACAUAUUUUAAUACACAGCAAUUAUUUUCAAACAAAAGUUAAGCAUUUUUUCUGUAAAACUUGCGAACAUUCCUUAAGGGUGUAUGAAUAUUGUAUAAAUGACACAGUAUUUUAAUAUGGCAUUAAAAUUUAAAAAAUCCCUAACAUCAUUUUGCGUUUCAUGAACUCUUUUUAACAUGUAAGGAAACAUAUUUUAAAAGCGUGAUUUUUUUAAAAUGUCACGAAUAAGUCCUUAAAUUAUACGAACAAUUUUUACAAAUUACGCAAACAAUAUUUUAAAUUUCCAUGAACAUAUUUAAACAAAGUAUCAUGAACAUAUUCUUAAAAUUUGUUAACAUAUUUUAACAAAGAUUAUUUUUUUACAAAAGUGAUAAACGUAUUUUGAAAUGUGUGAACAUAUUUUAACGCGAUGAAUUCUUUUUGAAUUAUAUGAACAUUUUUUAGAACGAAAUUACAUGAAUAGAAUUUCACAUUAAAUGAACAUCAAAAAUGCACAUUAAAGUUUUAAAAUUUUAAGUAAAUAUAUUUUAAAAUAUUGUUCUAAAAGUUUUCUAAUAUACAUAAAGUAAAAAAAGGAAAACAAAAAAGGAAGCAUCUUCGUAACCGCUAGCAAGCGAGGGUUGACACUAGUAGAAAAGGGGGUUUUUGUCCCGGUUGGUAAGGGCCUUUAGUCCCGGGACUAAUGGGUCGUUACUAAUGCCUCCCCCCUUUAGUCCCGAUUCUUUUUUUUGAAAUUUUAUUUUGUGAUUUUUUUUUAUUUUUAAAUUUCUGAAUUAUUUUAACCUCUAAUCUCUAAUCACCACCCCUCAUCACUGCUCAAUUUAUCCUCUAAUCACAAAUCACCCGUCAUCAUUCCAAAUCAUCUAACUUUCCGGACAGUCACCCAUCCUCUCACUACUCCAGCCUGAGCACGCUUAACUUCCGGGUUCUAUUCUCCCUCGUUUCCAAGUCUGCACUUGUUGUUUUCCUGACAAUAGUAAGAUGUCAAUCCUAUUAACCCUCAGGAAUUUAGCUUGAGCAUGAAGUGACAUAUUUCACUGUUUGAGUUUGAAACUAUUGUUUUAAAAAACAAUAAUUAUUUAGUAACACUAAUAUUUCUGGAAUAAUUAGUUUGACCAUUGUUUGACCAGAUUUGACCAAAAUUCAAAAAAACUGAAAUAAUUAUUUAGUAACACUAAUAUUCUAGAAUAAUUAGUUUGACCAUUGUUUGACCACAGUUUGAAAUUUUUUGAAUUUUUUUGCCUCUCCAGAUCUUAAAAUCCCCGUAACUUUUUUUUUCUGUUAGGUUUUUGAGGAUUUUGAAAAUGUUUAAUGGGGAUCCCCGGUUAAAAUCGGAUGUAACUUUCCGAGUAGAUGAUUUUUCAUAUAAAAAACUUUUUAAUCCGAGUUUGUAUGCACAAAUUAUGCCCAUUUUACAAAUUCCAGAGAGAUUUUGCAAAUAAAGUCGAAAUUCAUAUUUGUAAAUUUUCCCAACAACUAGACCACAUAUCACAUGGGAAACUUAUUUUAUUUUAUUUUUUUGACAUUUCCAUCAUUUUCUUUUGUUUUUUCUAAAACUGAAAAGGCAGGGGGGGGGGGUAGAGUUUGAAAAUGGGACCUUUAGUACCGGUUCGUGCCAUGAACCGGUACUAAUGCCUCAAAGCCCAUUAGUACCGGUUGGUGCCACCAACCGGUACUAAUAGGCAUCGCACCCUUUAGUCCCGGUUCGUGGCACCAACCGGGACUAAUGCCUUAGCCGCACGAACCGGGACCAAUGCUCACAUUAGUCCCGGUUCGUGACUGAACCGGGACUAAUGUGAAUAUUGCCCUGUGACGAAAGCCCUGUUUUGUACUAGUGUGAGCAGAGCAAACGUGUGUUAGGCUGGCCCAUUUAGGGAGGCGCUUGAGGUGAUGCUAGCGUAAGUCUCACAAUUAGAGAGAUCUAGGGGCCCCCUGAAACCCUCAUGUCCCGAUAUAAUCCCAAUAAAAAGCACCGCGGGAUCUGGCUGUCAUUCCCUCCCAAACGGCCCUCGAUACCGAAACUCUCACUAAACCACCCACACUAACGAUCGUUCCUAGUAAAAAUGGUUCAAAACAGCUCAGCUUGAGCAGUGCCAAGCCUUAAAGUUGGGAUUUGCAUCUACAAAUAAAAUAGCUAAAAACCAUAUAAUUUUUUUGCCACCCUUUUAAGGAAAAAGAAACAUGGCAAAUGUCUAGCAAGCAAGAGUUGAGCGGAGCGAACAUGUGUUCGGCUGGCCCAUUUUAGGGAGGCACUUGAGGCAACGCUAGUGUCAGUCUCACAAUUAGAGAGAUCUAGGCGCACACUAAAAUCAUCAUGUCCCAAUAUAAUCCCGAUAAAAAGGACCGUAGUAUUUGGCUGCCAUUCCCUCCCAAGCGGCCCUCGAAAUCGAACCUCUCGUUAAACCACCCACAUUAACAAUCACGCCGAGUAAUAAUGUGUCAAAACAGCUCAGCUUGAGCAGUGCCAAGCCUUAAAGCUAGGAUUUGCAUCUAUAAAAUAACAUAUCUAAAAGACAUACAAUUUUUUGCCAUCCCUUUAAGAAAAAAAUGGCAAAUGUUUGUGAAUUUCAAAAGUAUAUUAAGACACAUAAACAGGUUGCAUGGAUGCGAAUAACAUGGCUGACGUAUCCCCCGGGGGUGGCUAGGGUGUUAUCAUCCAAAUGUUUUGCAACAAAUAUUUUGUUAACAUGGCAAAAAUGUGUUUAAAAUUGCAUGGUGUACUAUGAAUAUUAUUGAAACAAGUUGCCAUGACCAAAUAAAAAUAACCAUGGGCUAAUUGAUAAAAUUGCCAUGUUACCUACACUAAAAUAAAAAUGGCCUAAUUAAUAAAAUUUCCAUGUUACCUACAUUAAAAUAACCAUGGGUUAAUUAAUAAAAUUGCUAGUCUGAAUAAGAAAAUUGUCAUGUUACCUAUAAUAAAACUACCAUGGUCUAAUUAAAUAAAUUGUCAUGGUCUAAAUAAUAAAAUUGGCAGGCUACAUAAAAUAAACUACCAUGGUCUAAUUAAUAAAAUCACCAUGGUAUAACAAGUGUCAACCUAGCAUUUCAUAUCCUGGUUGGUCUGGUUAGGCUUCUAAUAGGCCUUGUCUCUCUUUUUUUGCCCAAAAGCAUGACUCUACACUCUAAGGUAGAGUGGAGAAUAAGGAUUGGGACACGUCACUGAAUACAUUUUUGUGUUUUCGAAAUGGUGUAUGACUCCGGCCACUGCAUCAAACAUGCACACAACCAAAGCAGAAUACCAAUGGUAAUUGGAAAUACACUAUUUGGCACUUAACCGGAGUUAUAGCCUUUUUAUAGAAGAAGCCCAGUUAUAGCUGUUUUCGCACGCAGCGCUCACACCACAACUCUUCCUUUGUUCUAACUGGCUGGCCCGUGUUUUUCUUUUUCCCUCACUGGUUUUGGGAAUGUGCUAGAAAAUUAUCUUUGGUUAUUGCGGUUCAGUUUUCUCUAGGGUUUUUUAUAACGGGUUUUGUUUGGUAUUUUGUUUUGUUUUUCAAUUUCGUGAAUUUUCCAAAAAUCACAAAAUAAAUUAAAUUGACUAUUUUUUCCUCAAUUCAUGCAUUUUUUAAAAACCAUGAAUAUUUUAGAAAUUCCUGAACUUUUCAAAAUUCAUCAACCUUUUUUUAGUUCGUUAACUUUUUUCAAAUCCAUGAACAUUUUCCGAAUCUUCUAACUUUUUUCAAAUUAGCAAAAAGAAUGAAACCCGUGAUUUUUUUUUCAAAGUCAGCGGUCAAGUGGUCAAUGCUCGACCAGGUCAAUCCUGAACCGAGGGAACGGGGCGCAUGCCGAGCGAGCGCCGAGCGAGCUCACUCGCGUUGUUGGGCAAGACCAUGCGAGCAGUCAUGUGAACGUUGCUUCGCUAUCGACGUGAGAAAUACAAUGGUAAAAAUGAUUCGUGAUUUGGACGAACGGUUUAAGAGAUAACACGUUUAAAAAAAGAAUCUACAAAAAAAAUACACAAACAAACUCACCCAUGCCUCUCGUGAAUGGAGAGAAAUCCCAACAAAACUCUUGGGGAGAAAUCCGGACAAAACUCUUGAGGAGGUGUACGUAAGUAACCUUUGAAAGGGCACUCCUUAAUUCUUAAUUAGUGAUUUCGGAGGUCGCAGCGAUACGUCGACCAAAUUGAACAAUUACCUUUGGGGUACAAUGCCCAACUCACUCUUAUCAGGCCGGUUCGGUAGCCGAAUCUCUUCUAAACGGGACAUCAGAGUUCUACAUAUAUUCAUGUCUACAGGAUCCAAAGAACUUCUAACCUCUCCCAUGCCAAGCAGUCAAAGUCAUCUUCCAAACAAUGAGUCCACAUUGGUUGCUGCACAUAACAAAUAUGAAAACUGUAACCGAAGUGGAGUUUUCCUUUUUAGUGGAGUGAAACUAAAGUGGAGUUCUGGUAGCUCAAAUAGUACUAUCACGCAAAAACUGAAAGAGAGAUACUUCGUUUAUGCGUGGCAAGUGUAGGAGUAUUUUCCUAGUCAAAUAAAAAAAAAUCCGGGUUGCCACUAACUCCUGAGGGCUACUUUAGCACAACACAGUUCUUGAGUGAUUAGCAGUGUGCAUACCGUGGCUGAACUUCGUUUGCACAUAGUGAUAUAUCAUCUCGUGGUGCCACGCGAAAAACCAUCAGAUCGGCCACUUGAUCGACCAUCUCCUGUCGAUAUCCAAAUGAACAGCGUGCCACAUCGAUCGUCACUUGCACGGACCCGGCCAUAAGCAGCGAAGCGUGCUGCAUAAUCUACCUGUUUCAGCCGUGUGUAACGUGUAUUCUUUGUCUGAGGAGGAGACUUUCUCCUAAACUUGUUUUUGAUCUUCCUUUCUUCUGUACGUGAUGGCUGUUUCUGACUUGCAGUGCUGGAGCAAGAACCCCACUACAGGGUCGAUUCUCGUUCCGUCUCUGCGUGCUCAUCAGUUUGAUUGAUGCCUGACAGCGACAAACAAGGGAUUAUAGACUUGUAGAUGAAAACUACAAACAAGAACCAGAUUAUAUAUUUCAUAGUGAAAACAUAUCUACAAACAAGGGAAUAUGCCCUCCUUUACUUCAAUUUCCAUUGGGCUACUUGGUGCAGAGGUCUGAAGCAAUUGGAAGUUGGAACCUAAAAGAAACACAGCGACUUGGGUUCUACAGUUAACCUGGUUUAAUUCCUAUGUUCUUAUGCUCAACAUCUGCGUUGGACAAGCAGAUGAUCUUGCACCCGAGACCACAGGGGCAACACGGAGCGCUACGACGAUCACGCGCCAUUGCCUGAAGAGCAUGCCCGCGGAGUGCUUUUGCAGUUUAUGAAGAUGAAGCUCAUGUUACUGUCGGCUACUUCCUAACACCAAGUCCAGCCUUGUCCACAACAAAAUCAGCAAUGCAGUACUUGUUGCCAAAUGCCAAGUAAUAAUGGGUUUGCCGACAGAAGAAAAAGUGCACUGUCGACCAGUCAUCCCGCAACUGCAAAAGCUUUGCAAUCCCAGCAGACCAGCUGCCACUCUUGCUCGUGUGCCUCGCUUGUACCCAGCGACCAUCAUGGCACAAAUCAAGCAAAUAACCUUUACAAAAAGGGUCAGGCCACUCCAUGUCUCCAUCUAGCUAGCAGCCUACCACAUUAUGGACGCCUUGGCACCACUACUACUCCGGUCCCUUGUCUCCUCGCACCUCGGCUACCCGGCCCCUGCAGACUCCGCAGGUCCAGCCCCAGCCCCAGCCCCAGCGCCUCCUUCUCGUCCCACCACGACCUGCCUCCGCGCAAUUGUUGUCGAACAAGGGGUUUGGGGCUUGGGCAGCGGAUGCGAGGACGGGUCCUUGCACGCCUCCAGGCCCAGCUUCUCAUGCUUCAGGUACCGGCACAGUGUCCCCCGCUCCCUGGGGUGUGCCUGCAUUGCAAAAGGAUACACCCUUGAAUGAACACAAGUUGUUGCUAAUUUUCAGUUUUCUCACAUCUUCAUUUAACAUUGGGGUCUUCCCUUUUUGGGGGCCCAAAAGGUGCAUCAGGAUUUGUGAUCGGGAUAUGGGAAUGGUGUGCUGUAUAUUGCUUUUGUCUGAUUGUUGCUCCUCACCGAUUGGGAAGGGAAACAAGAUGAGAGGCAUAAAUCCUACUCCCUCCGUCCCAAAAUAUAAGAGCGGUUUUUACACUAGUGUAGUGUCAAAAUGCUCUUAUAUUUUGGGACGGAGGGAGUACUUGGAAAGACUACCGAUGUGCACAUUCUAUCGGGUACAGACUAAUAGCUGCCGUGUGCAUACACAUUGGUACUUGCCUGCAUUGCACAAGGUCACGAAUCCAGGGCAGCUUCUCGUAGUUCAGGCAUCCGCACAACGUCCCCCACUUCCCGGACAUCAGCAUGGGGGGUGGCUGCAUUGCACAAGGAUACAUCAUUAAAUAGAGAUAUUGCUAAUUUUUGGUUGUUUGACAUCUUCACUUGAUGUUGCAAACUAGUACUAAACUAAGUCUGUAGCUAGGUUAUAUAUGAAGUGACCUUGAGAUGAGAAAUGGUUGUCUGACCUUCGACGACGAAAGAGGGGG
This 11329-nucleotide long non-coding RNA is filed under the name Triticum aestivum (bread wheat). RNAcentral's name for it is "long non-coding RNA (TAES_LNC023639)". The stretch from base 10902 to 10987 matches the Rfam family "MIR1120/MIR1122 microRNA precursor family". The record is from RNAcentral. Lineage: Eukaryota; Viridiplantae; Streptophyta; Magnoliopsida; Poales; Poaceae.